AAGCUAUAAUGACCUGAAGAGGGUCAGCCCCUUGUCCAUGUGGUACUUUGUUUUUCUGUUUUAAAAGAUGCAAGUUCAGGCUAUAUUCAAAUUACCGUUUAAAAAAAAAAAAAAACAACCCGCAGGCAAACACACACCGCCCAUUGUGAGGAGUCCUGCACGAAUAGGAAGCGGAGGGAGAAAGCAGUACGUGCAUACAGAAACGUAGCUACUGCUAGUCUUGCUCCACCAAUCUCUCAGCACCUGGUGACACACACACACACACACACACAGCUCAGUAACUGAAGGUGCCCCUGUUUGGUGGCCCAGGACAAAAGGCUGGCCUACAGAGAGAGAGAGAGAGAGCAAUUGUGGGGUUAGAAGUGAAGCAGAUUACAGCUACUUAUUUCAAUACCGCCAGAACCCACGAGAUUAUUAUGGCAAAUAAGGCAACGCAGCAGGGAUGUCUGGAAAGACACAGAACGGUAAAGAGGUGAGAGGUCAGUCCUCAUACAGCUCAAAGGGCACAGUGCAGCGGGUCAGCGUGGACAGG
This is a long non-coding RNA of Ictalurus punctatus (channel catfish), 532 nucleotides long. RefSeq lists it as uncharacterized. The record is from RefSeq and is a predicted model, not a curated record. NCBI's taxonomy places the organism in Eukaryota, Metazoa, Chordata, Actinopteri, Siluriformes, Ictaluridae. The transcript is spliced from 2 exons.